RNAcentral lists this ribosomal RNA (377 nucleotides) under uncultured bacterium. RNAcentral describes it as "bacterial SSU rRNA". It matches the Rfam family "Bacterial small subunit ribosomal RNA", at positions 523 to 898 of the family's 1533-position model. The record is from RNAcentral.
AUACGUAGGUGGCGAGCGUUGUCCGGAAUUACUGGGUGUAAAGGGCGUGUAGGCGGGGCGUCAAGUCAGGUGUGAAAUUCCGAGGCUUAACUUCGGGUAUGCACCUGAAACUGGUGCUCUUGAGUGUCGGAGAGGAAAGUGGAAUUCCCAGUGUAGCGGUGAAAUGCGUAGAGAUUGGGAGGAACACCAGUGGCGAAGGCGGCUUUCUGGACGACAACUGACGCUGAGGCGCGAAAGCGUGGGGAGCAAACAGGAUUAGAUACCCUGGUAGUCCACGCUGUAAACGAUGGAUACUAGGUGUAGGAGGUAUCGACCCCUUCUGUGCCGGAGUUAACACAAUAAGUAUCCCACCUGGGGAGUACGGCCGCAAGGCUGAA